GAUGAACGCUGGCGGCGUGCCUAAUACAUGCAAGUCGAGCGAACAGACGAGAAGCUUGCUUUUCUGAUGUUAGCGGCGGACGGGUGAGUAACACGUGGAUAACCUACCUAUAAGACUGGGAUAACUUCGGGAAACCGGAGCUAAUACCGGAUAAUAUUUUGAACCGCAUGGUUCAAUAGUGAAAGACGGUUUUGCUGUCACUUAUAGAUGGAUCCGCGCUGCAUUAGCUAGUUGGUAAGGUAACGGCUUACCAAGGCAACGAUGCAUAGCCGACCUGAGAGGGUGAUCGGCCACACUGGAACUGAGACACGGUCCAGACUCCUACGGGAGGCAGCAGUAGGGAAUCUUCCGCAAUGGGCGAAAGCCUGACGGAGCAACGCCGCGUGAGUGAUGAAGGUCUUCGGAUCGUAAAACUCUGUUAUUAGGGAAGAACAUAUGUGUAAGUAACUGUGCACAUCUUGACGGUACCUAAUCAGAAAGCCACGGCUAACUACGUG
Molecule: ribosomal RNA, 497 nt
Filed under: uncultured bacterium
Lineage: Bacteria
Description: partial 16S ribosomal RNA
Rfam family: Bacterial small subunit ribosomal RNA
Source: RNAcentral